This 78-nucleotide transfer RNA is filed under the name Candidatus Heimdallarchaeota archaeon. Its description in RNAcentral is "tRNA-Glu". It matches the Rfam family "tRNA". From Rfam's summary of the family: Transfer RNA (tRNA) molecules are approximately 80 nucleotides in length. Their secondary structure includes four short double-helical elements and three loops (D, anti-codon, and T loops). The record is from RNAcentral. Lineage: Archaea; Promethearchaeati; Candidatus Heimdallarchaeota.
GCCCCAAUAGUGUAGUUCGGCCAAUCAUUACGGCCUCUCGAGUCGUAGACCCGGGUUCAAAUCCCGGUUGGGGCACCA